Molecule: ribosomal RNA, 484 nt
Filed under: uncultured bacterium
Lineage: Bacteria
Description: partial 16S ribosomal RNA
Rfam family: Bacterial small subunit ribosomal RNA
Source: RNAcentral
AGUGAACGCUGGCGGCAGGCCUAACACAUGCAAGUCGAGCGGCAGCGCGGGGGCAACCCUGGCGGCGAGCGGCGGACGGGUGAGGAAUUCGUCGGAAUCUGCCUUUUUGUGGGGGAUAACGUAGGGAAACUUACGCUAAUACCGCAUACGUCCUACGGGAGAAAGUGGGGGACCGCAAGGCCUCACGCAGAAAGAUGAGCCGACGACCGAUUAGCUAGUUGGUGGGGUAAAGGCCCACCAAGGCGACGAUCGGUAGCUGGUCUGAGAGGAUGAUCAGCCACACUGGGACUGAGACACGGCCCAGACUCCUACGGGAGGCAGCAGUGGGGAAGAUUGGACAAUGGGCGCAAGCCUGAUCCAGCCAUGCCGCGUGUGUGAAGAAGGCCUUCGGGUUGUAAAGCACUUUUGUCCGGAAAGAAAUCCCUGGAGCUAAUACCUUCGGGGGAUGACGGUACCGGAAGAAUAAGCACCGGCUAACUUCGUG